Molecule: ribosomal RNA, 550 nt
Filed under: uncultured Cryptophyta
Lineage: Eukaryota; Cryptophyceae
Description: bacterial SSU rRNA
Rfam family: Eukaryotic small subunit ribosomal RNA
Source: RNAcentral
UUUACAGGUCUGGCAAUUGGAAUGAGAACAAUUUAAAUCCCUUAACGAGGAUCAAUUGGAGGGCAAGUCUGGUGCCAGCAGCCGCGGUAAUUCCAGCUCCAAUAGCGUAUAUUAAAGUUGUUGCAGUUAAAAAGCUCGUAGUUGGAUUUUGGACCUCAUCCGGCGGUCCGCCUUAACGGUGAGUACUGACGGGUGGAGUCUUCCGGUUGAAGGCUAUCUGUGCUCUUCAUUGGGUGUAGGUAGAAUUCAGCCAAUUUACUUUGAAAAAAUUAGAGUGUUCAAAGCAGGCCUUUGGCUUGAAUACAUUAGCAUGGAAUAACAGAAUAGGACUUUGGUUCUAUUUUGUUGGUUUCUAGGACCGAAGUAAUGAUUAAUAGGGAUAGUUGGGGGCAUUAAUAUUUAAUUGUCAGAGGUGAAAUUCUUUGAUUUAUGAAAGAUUAACUUCUGCGAAAGCAUUUGCCAAGGAUGUUUUCAUUAAUCAAGAACGAAAGUUAGGGGAUCGAAGAUGAUCAGAUACCGUCGUAGUCCUAACCAUAAACUAUGCCGACUA